Molecule: ribosomal RNA, 273 nt
Filed under: uncultured bacterium
Lineage: Bacteria
Description: partial 16S ribosomal RNA
Rfam family: Bacterial small subunit ribosomal RNA
Source: RNAcentral
UACGGAGGGUGCGAGCGUUGUUCGGAAUCACUGGGCGUAAAGGGCGCGCAGGCGGCGUGAUAAGUCAGAUGUGAAAGUCCAGGGCUUAACCGUGGAAGUGCAUUUGAAACUGUCAUGCUUGAGUACCAGAGGGGAAGGUGGAAUUCCCGGUGUAGAGGUGAAAUUCGUAGAUAUCGGGAGGAAUACCGGUGGCGAAGGCGACUUUCUGGCUGGAUACUGACGCUGAGGCGCGAAAGCGUGGGGAGCAAACAGGAUUAGAUACCCCCGUAGUCC